GCUGGACACCUUGGCGCGUGCCUGUAGUCCCAGCUACUUGGGAGGCUGAGGUGGGAGGAUUGCUUGAGCCCAGGAGUUCUGAGCGUAGUGCACUAUGCCAAUUGGGUGUACACUCUAAGUCUGGCAUCAAUAUGGUGACCUCCUGGGAGUGGGGGACCACCAGGUGGCUUAAGGAGGGGUAAACCAGCCCAGGUCGGAAACAGAGCAGGUCAAAACUCCCGUGCUGAUCAGUAGUGGGAUCUUGCCUGUGAAUAGCUACUGUACUCCAGCCUGGGAAACAUAGCAAGACCCCGUCUCU
This 298-nucleotide signal recognition particle RNA is filed under the name Saimiri boliviensis boliviensis (Bolivian squirrel monkey). Its description in RNAcentral is "Metazoan signal recognition particle RNA (ENSSBOG00000001897.1)". It matches the Rfam family "Metazoan signal recognition particle RNA". From Rfam's summary of the family: The signal recognition particle (SRP) is a universally conserved ribonucleoprotein. The record is from RNAcentral. Lineage: Eukaryota; Metazoa; Chordata; Mammalia; Primates; Cebidae.